GAUCAUGGCUCAGGAUGAACGCUGGCGGCGUGCCUAAUACAUGCAAGUAGAACGCUGAAGCUUGGUGCUUGCACCGAGCGGAAGAGUUGCGAACGGGUGAGUAACGCGUAGGUAACCUGCCUCUUAGCGGGGGAUAACUAUUGGAAACGAUAGCUAAUACCGCAUAAAAGUCGGCAUUGCAUGAUGUUGACUUGAAAGGUGCAACUGCAUCACUAAGAGAUGG
Molecule: ribosomal RNA, 223 nt
Filed under: uncultured bacterium
Lineage: Bacteria
Description: partial 16S ribosomal RNA
Rfam family: Bacterial small subunit ribosomal RNA
Source: RNAcentral